This 1103-nucleotide long non-coding RNA is filed under the name Homo sapiens (human). RNAcentral's name for it is "HSALNT0368334". The record is from RNAcentral. Lineage: Eukaryota; Metazoa; Chordata; Mammalia; Primates; Hominidae.
CCUGGGGGCGAGGCCUCCCACCAUCAGUCUGGGAUCUGCAGGAGCAGGAUGCAGGCCUCCCUCUGGAUGGCUCCCUUCCAGUGGCACAGAGACCAGCUCACCUCCAAUGACAAGGAAGAGUAUCAGCAUGACGGGAUAGAAGAACCCCAGGACGAAGCAGAAGAUAUACUCAUGGGCCACUGCGGAGACCAGGAACACACCCAGCAUGGCUACCCCUCGGGCCCGGGCACCAAGGAGCUGGCAGGGUGAGGAAAGGAGUGAAGAGUGCUGCCUCCAAGGCCCCGAAACAGAGAGUGCUACUGCGAACAAAUCAACCUCUUCCACUCCACUGCUGCUUUUGGUGCCCCAUAACGACGACCCCCUCUCAGCAGGAAGUAGCCAGAAAGAUUACGACUCCCCAUCUCCCUGCGAUUCUCAUGAUAAAUAAAUAUCCAUGCAUGAUAAAAAUCGUGUAAAUUGACAGUGGGGACUGUGACAAGCAGGUCUCACUAAUGCAGACCUCCAUAACAACUGUUUCAGUACUGACUGAGUGGUUAAGUUAAAUGUUAAAAACCAGUGCCCUUAUACAAAGGCUGGAAUGUAACAAAAGCCCACCAAGAGUUUUGCCUAGGCCUUUCCUGAACCUCAAAGCAUGAUUAAACAAGUUUUGCUGGGGGUCUGAAGAAACUCCCCAAACCUCCGUUAUUUAGCAGGAGAUAAGAGAAGGGUAAUCACCCCAGCACUUGGACCCAUUUAGAUUAAGUAAACUUACUGAGGCUCCAGAAGAAGGUCUUCAAGACUCAGACCUUAGUUAUAGAUUAAAAGAAGUUAAUCACUUAUGUCUUUAGAUGAAUGCACACCUACACAUAGAUGUAGAGCUUAGAAGGUAUAUAUGCUCUGGAAAUUGUAAUUUUUAGUUGGCCUGGUGAUAAUUUCCAGGCCUUCUCCCUGUAACUGGUUACAGAAAUAAAAACUCACUUCCUCCCCAGUUCAUCUGCAUCUCGUUAUUGGGCCAUGAGAAAUAGCAGCCCCAACCCUCAGUUUGGUCUGGGAAUAGUGGGAGGUAUGAAAAUACAGACCCCCAGGGGUAUACAGCUCUCUGAGGCUCAUCCUCACAGUUGGAU